This 490-nucleotide ribosomal RNA is filed under the name uncultured bacterium. Its description in RNAcentral is "partial 16S ribosomal RNA". It matches the Rfam family "Bacterial small subunit ribosomal RNA", at positions 29 to 507 of the family's 1533-position model. The record is from RNAcentral.
AGUGAACGCUGGCGGUAGGCCUAACACAUGCAAGUCGAACGGCAGCACAGUAAGAGCUUGCUCUUACGGGUGGCGAGUGGCGGACGGGUGAGGAAUACAUCGGAAUCUACUUUUUCGUGGGGGAUAACGUAGGGAAACUUACGCUAAUACCGCAUACGACCUACGGGUGAAAGCAGGGGAUCUUCGGACCUUGCGCGAUUGAAUGAGCCGAUGUCGGAUUAGCUAGUUGGCGGGGUAAAGGCCCACCAAGGCGACGAUCCGUAGCUGGUCUGAGAGGAUGAUCAGCCACACUGGAACUGACACGGUCCAGACUCCUACGGGAGGCAGCAGUGGGGAGUAUUGGACAAUGGGCGCAAGCCUGAUCCAGCCAUACCGCGUGGGUGAAGAAGGCCUUCGGGUUGUAAAGCCCUUUUGUUGGGAAAGAAAAGCAGCAGGUUAAUACCCCGCUGUUCUGACGGUACCCAAAGAAUAAGCACCGGCUAACUUCGUG